RNAcentral lists this ribosomal RNA (498 nucleotides) under uncultured bacterium. RNAcentral describes it as "partial 16S ribosomal RNA". It matches the Rfam family "Bacterial small subunit ribosomal RNA", at positions 28 to 523 of the family's 1533-position model. The record is from RNAcentral.
GACGAACGCUGGCGGCAUGCCUUACACAUGCAAGUCGAACGGUAGCGCGGGGCAGCCUGGCGACGAGUGGCGAACGGGUGAGUAAUGCAUCGGAACGUGCCCAACAGUGGGGGAUAGCCCGGCGGAAGCCGGAUUAAUACCGCAUACGACCUGAGGGUGAGAGCGGGGGAUCGCAAGACCUCGCGCUGAUGGAGCGGCCGAUGUCAGAUUAGGUAGUUGGUGGGGUAAAGGCCUACCAAGCCGACGAUCUGUAGCUGGUCUGAGAGGACGACCAGCCACACUGGGACUGAGACACGGCCCAGACUCCUACGGGAGGCAGCAGUGGGGAAUUUUGGACAAUGGGGGAAACCCUGAUCCAGCCAUGCCGCGUGCGGGAAGAAGGCCUUCGGGUUGUAAACCGCUUUUGUCGGGGAAGAAAUCCUUCGAGCUAAUACCUUGAGGGGAUGACGGUACCCGAAGAAUAAGCACCGGCUAACUACGUGCCAGCCGCCGCCGUAA